This 494-nucleotide ribosomal RNA is filed under the name uncultured bacterium. RNAcentral describes it as "partial 16S ribosomal RNA". It matches the Rfam family "Bacterial small subunit ribosomal RNA", at positions 28 to 507 of the family's 1533-position model. The record is from RNAcentral.
GACGAACGCUGGCGGCGUGCUUAACACAUGCAAGUCGAACGGUGAAGCGCCUUCCUUUUUGGUGGGUGUGGAUGAGUGGCGAACGGGUGAGUAACACGUGAGUAACCUGCCCCCUUCUUCUGGAUAACCGCAUGAAAGUGUGGCUAAUACGGGAUAUUCUGGGUCUGUCGCAUGAUGGGUCUGGGAAAGAUAUUGUUUCGGUGGGGGAUGGGCUCGCGGCCUAUCAGCUUGUUGGUGGGGUGAUGGCCUACCAAGGCGGUGGCGGGUAGCCGGCCUGAGAGGGUGGACGGUCACACUGGGACUGAGACACGGCCCAGACUCCUACGGGAGGCAGCAGUGGGGAAUAUUGCACAAUGGGCGCAAGCCUGAUGCAGCGACGCCGCGUGAGGGAUGGAGGCCUGCGGGUUGUGAACCUCUUUCGCCAGUGAAGCAGGCCUGCCUCGUUUGUGGGUGGGUUGACGGUAGCUGGAUAAGAAGCGCCGGCUAACUACGUG